UAAUUUAUCAUCGUUUAGACAUUAAUCCUGAUGCUAGAUUCGUAUUAUCUAGGAGUAAUUUCUUAUUUAAUUUAUGAUUGUUUAGAGAAAUUCAACAUAACAUAUUCUAAGUAGUCUUGUUUUCUUUUAAGAAUUAUGUAGAAUUUGCUCACCCUACACGUAGCUUCCAACAAAGAUUGUUUGUGUGUCUAGUUUUGUGUUAGUAAGCACAGAGCUUGACAGAAUUAGCUGAAGUAGUGGGCCAAAGGUUAUUGCUGGUCAAAGUUGAAGCGUUUGAGUGGACUUAUGUAACUUGUCUCUUUUUUUGACAAUGGACUAGUAAUUAGGCCUUUACGAGAUUUGGAAGAUGGGAAGUAGCCAAAACACUACUGCUAACAUGAAUGAGGAUGUGGUUAAGACCUGCUAGAAACACGUAGACCCAAUCUUCAACAAUAGGCUUCCUUUGUUUCUCACAGCAUGUGUCAUGUCGUUAGGCCUCUGACAAUUUAGUUCCAUUAAUAUGGAGUUCAGUUGUAGUAUUCAGCAAGAGGCCAACCACCCUAACUCGAUCGGAAUGAUUCCUUUAUACUUCCAUUAAAAGAGUCACAAAAAUCUAGAUAUCUCCUUUAUAUCUUCUCCAAAACUUCCUAAGUCAUUCCACAGUAUACAAAAUGCAACAUCAAAUGGAAUUCAUGAGCGAAGAGAUGACUAAAGCAUUUUCAACCUCCCAUUCUUUAUACUAUGGAUCAUCAUUAGCAGAUGCAGCAUUUCAUCACAUGAUAUAACUCUUUUUCUUCCGACCCACAAUAUGGAUCUCCAAAAUCGUGGACAAAAUCCAAUAAUUAGCACCAUCUAAUUUACUGAAAUUGGAGAGGAAGUGUCAUGAACAGUCACAAGAGAGACAACCUUGAUGUUAGAAGACUUCGUACUAGUUAUGUCAAUCAUCUUGGCUAGGCAUGGGCACAGUUCGGUUUGGGUCGGUUUCGACUCCAACCUGAAACCAAAACCAAAUUAGUUAAUUUAGGUGAAUUUCAACACAAAUCAACCCACUCUAGUUCUUAAAUCGAAUCGAACCAAAUCGGUUAGGUUUGGUUAGUCGGUUUGGACUUUUAGUCCAAAUUGAUUUUUUUUAAAAAAAAUUGUCCUAGUUUUGGGCCCACUUAGUUCCAUUAAUAUGGAAUUCAGUUGUAGGAUUCAGUAAGAGGCCAACCACCUUAACUCGAUCGGAAUGAUUCCUUUAUACUUCCAUUAAAGAGUCAUAAACAUCGAGAUAUCUCCUUUUUAUCUUAUCCAAAAGUUCCUAAGCCAUUCCACAUUAUACAAAAUGCAACAUCAAAUGGAAUUUAUGAGCGAAGAGAUGACUAAAGCAUCUUCAACCUCCCAUUCUUCAUACUGCGGUUCAUCAUUAGCAGAUGCAUCUUUUCAUCACAUGAUGUAACCCUUUUUCUUCCAACCCACAAUAUGCAUCUCGUACUAGUUGUGUCAGUCAUCUUGGCUAGGUAUGAGCACGGUUUGGUUUGAGUCGGUUUCGACUACAACCUGAAACCAAAACCAAAUUAGUCAAUUUAGGUGAAUUUCAACACAAACUAACUCGCUCUAGUUCUUAAAUCGAACCGAACCAAAUUAGUUGGAUUCGGUUGGUCGGUUUGGACUUUUAGUCCAAAUUGAUUUUUUCUUUAAAAAAUUGUCCUAGUUUUGGGCUGACUUAGUUUACAAAGACUAAAAUAACUAAAUAACUUCAUAUUACAAGAAUUAUUGAAUAACAAAUAAAAUCGGGUUAAUAGAGACGGAUGAACAGAAAAUGUAAGAAUUUUGUUGCUCUUUUAUCUAUUAUGUAGCCUGACAACUUGAAAUAGGGAAAAAAUGCUAAGUAUAACAUAAUAAGCUUCUGAUAAGAAAUUUUCAGUACUAUUACUUAUCGGCAACAUCGUAAAUGGAAGGGAAUUGAGAUAGAGUUAUGAGAUUAGGGUUUAUCUUUUGAUUUUUUUAUUUUUUUUAAAAUGGUAUGUAAGUGUGUUGGGUUGGUUGGUUAACCAGUGGUUUGAGUGGUUUGAGAUUUCAAACAAUGACUGAACCGACCCACCAUGGUUUUGUUUAAAAGAAAAUCAAAUCAAACCAAUAACUUGUGUCAAACUGAUCCGAACCAGUUCGAGUUGGUUCGGUUUGAUUGGUUUUGUCGGAUUUUUGAUUUUUUUUUCCCAGCCCUAAUCUUGGCAACUAAGGUUUACUUUUUAGUAAUUACAAAAAUAGGAUACUCACAACCACCAAGCUAGGAUUUUUGCAUCCACAGAGAGGAAAUGUGACCAAGCAGUAAGAGGAGAUCUGACCAAGAAAGGGUCACAAACAAGUUGAAGAGGUUCAAGGCCAACCACACGAGUCGCCCAUGCAAAGGGCUCGCCUAAGGGGUUUGACUGCUCGAAAUAGUUGAAGAGGUUCAGGUUAAUUACAUGAAGUUUCAGAACCCAAAUUGGUAGAAGCAGCACUUGCUCAUCUCUCUGCUCCAGGUCAGGGAAUUUUUCGUAGCUAGACUCCUUGAGAAAUGACACGAAGAUUUUCGAGGGUUCGGUCCUUUGUUUGCAAAUGGUUGGGGAAUCCAUAAAGGUGGCCAUUUAUUAUUAUUAUCGUCGUCGUCGUCGUUGUCAUCUUAUUCAAUAACUAUUUUUAGCGUCAUUAUAUAUAUAUUUUUAUUGUUACUGGGGAAGCUAGCUUAUUGCUGAAAUCAUGGUAGCUAGAGGGAUAUAAGGUGCAACUACUUUUCUAUGUCCAUUAAACUUUGCAUCUACGCGUGGUUAAUCUGUUGAACAUAAUUGUACUUUUUCAUGAUUGCUGAUUCUUAAAGUUGCCAUCAUAGUUUUCUAAUUCCUGUA
This is a long non-coding RNA of Olea europaea var. sylvestris, 2846 nucleotides long. RefSeq lists it as uncharacterized. The transcript is spliced from 2 exons. The record is from RefSeq and is a predicted model, not a curated record. Lineage: Eukaryota; Viridiplantae; Streptophyta; Magnoliopsida; Lamiales; Oleaceae.